Molecule: ribosomal RNA, 1578 nt
Filed under: Triticum aestivum (bread wheat)
Lineage: Eukaryota; Viridiplantae; Streptophyta; Magnoliopsida; Poales; Poaceae
Description: partial small subunit ribosomal RNA
Source: RNAcentral
CGAGCCACAUAACCCACGUGCUUAACCGAGCAACGUCUCCUAUAAAGGAGCCAGGGCUCAGCGCAAACGUCCGCUCGCUACCGAUAAACCAGACCGGGUAGCGCGCAAAAUCGACGUAAAGCGACGAAUUCCGUCCUUUAUCCUCGCGGUUAAGCUUGGGGUUUAACGAUUUAGGGGUUUAGGGAACCGUCGCUCUAACGGCCGCUACGCCGGAGGCCGCGGGUUCUGGAGGCGGAUGUCGGUUGUUCUUGGAGCAGGCCUCUUGGAAGAAGAGGAGCGAAGGGGGGCGCGACGGUUUGAGAGGGAACCGACGGGGGAGAACCUGGCGGAGGAGAGGCCACCGGAGGGGCGGCGCAGCCAGUGUCUCUAACGACCGCUUAGGCGGCGGCCCUUCUGGGUCGAAACGGAGGUCGAGCGGGAGGAGCGCGGGGAGAGGGGAGUGGGAAGGAGGAGGGAGAAGAAUACGAGGCUGCAGGGGAAAGGGGAGGCGGCGGAGGCGGAGGAACGGGGGUUUAGCGCCGGUCUGGAGGACCUAGUGCAGGAACACCGGCGACAUGUGAGGGGGAGGCUGGAGGAGAGGGAGGAUAGGGCGCGGGUCAUGGUGGAGAGGGUGGGCUCAGCGAGGGGGGUGGGGGACGGAUAGGCGCAGUAGGAGGAACUGAGGUAGCGAAGGGAGAAGGCGCGGCUGAAGCUGCGGAGUGGGCGGCUGGAGUUUGCGGCCAGACCCGAGAAGAAGUUCUAUAGGCGUUUUGAGUUCCUUGACCGAGUGUCCGUGGUUACACACCAACACCAAUGGUUGGUCCACCAGCUGCACCACCUCCCCUUGUGCCCUUUGUGGCACCGGACCAGCAGCCCCGCCGUCCACUCGGGACGCGACCCCGAACGCACCCGGUUGACGCAGUUGUGAGCCGACAAGGACUGCGCCCUCCACCUAUCGUUGCCACCCUCACGGUCCUCCGUGUACUUCCACCGGAAGCGCGGCGUGAACGGCCACGCCUGCACACUCAAGCACUAUGCCUCCCUGCCACAGAAGCCGCAACUCGGCCGUGUUUCCAUCCGGUUGCCAGAACAUACAGUCAGUAGAAAACGGUCCUCUCUUGGGCUGCUGGACAAGCUAGCUUACACGUAGACCCACUAAGUCAAACUUUAUGUCACAUUCCUCUAAUAGGAGUAAGGAGCUACCAAGUUUACUUUACACUUAAUCGAGACAGAAUAAAGAAUAUCUAGAAAAACCCCUACGCCACUUGAAUACCGCUCGUUCAAUCAAUACUUUAGGGUUCCGCCUGUUUUUAUCCAAGAACGAAAUCACCCGCACCAACUUUAGUCCCAUAACUAAUACACGGUCGAGUUAUAACUAUGGAAGUUACCUCAAACAGUUUCACUUGGAAGCAUUAUUCGUGAAACAACGGACACUUUAGAUAACGGAAUUUAUGAAACGUAACGACUUAGUUGUUGGAAGUUGUAGUUAUGAGGACACGUUGGAACACGAAUACUCAAUACUACCGAUAACUGACAUUGUGAUUAUAAGUAGUUUUCUACAUAUAACUAUGGAAGUUACCUCAAACAGGCAUUAUUCGU